UACGUAGGGUGCAAGCGUUAAUCGGAAUUACUGGGCGUAAAGCGUGCGCAGGCGGUUGUGCAAGACCGAUGUGAAAUCCCCGGGCUUAACCUGGGAAUGGCAUUGGUGACUGCACGGCUAGAGUGUGUCAGAGGGGGGUAGAAUUCCACGUGUAGCAGUGAAAUGCGUAGAUAUGUGGAGGAAUACCGAUGGCGAAGGCAGCCCCCUGGGAUAACACUGACGCUCAUGCACGAAAGCGUGGGGAGCAAACAGGA
RNAcentral lists this ribosomal RNA (254 nucleotides) under uncultured bacterium. Its description in RNAcentral is "partial 16S ribosomal RNA". It matches the Rfam family "Bacterial small subunit ribosomal RNA", at positions 524 to 777 of the family's 1533-position model. The record is from RNAcentral.